RNAcentral lists this ribosomal RNA (496 nucleotides) under uncultured bacterium. RNAcentral describes it as "partial 16S ribosomal RNA". It matches the Rfam family "Bacterial small subunit ribosomal RNA", at positions 28 to 506 of the family's 1533-position model. The record is from RNAcentral.
GAUGAACGCUGGCGGCGUGCCUAAUACAUGCACGUCGAGCGAACAGACGAGGAGCUUGCUCCUCUGACGUUAGCGGCGGACGGGUGAGUAACACGUGGAUAACCUACCUAUAAGACUGGGAUAACUUCGGGAAACCGGAGCUAAUACCGGAUAAUAUAUUGAACCGCAUGGUUCAAUAGUGAAAGACGGUUUUGCUGUCACUUAUAGAUGGAUCCGCGCCGCAUUAGCUAGUUGGUAAGGUAACGGCUUACCAAGGCAACGAUGCGUAGCCGACCUGAGAGGGUGAUCGGCCACACUGGAACUGAGACACGGUCCAGACUCCUACGGGAGGCAGCAGUAGGGAAUCUUCCGCAAUGGGCGAAAGCCUGACGGAGCAACGCCGCGUGAGUGAUGAAGGUCUUCGGAUCGUAAAACUCUGUUAUUAGGGAAGAACAAAUGUGUAAGUAACUAUGCACGUCUUGACGGUACCUAAUCAGAAAGCCACGGCUAACUACGU